GGCCUAACACAUGCAAGUCGAACGCUCGCAGCAAUGCGGGAGUGGCGCACGGGUGAGUAACACGUGGGAAUAUACCUUUCGCUGGGGGAUAACUUCGGGAAACUGAAGCUAAUACCGCAUACGCCCUUCGGGGGAAAGAUUUAUCGGCGAGAGAUUAGCCCGCGUCCGAUUAGCUAGUUGGUGAGGUAACGGCUCACCAAGGCGACGAUCGGUAGCUGGUCUGAGAGGAUGAUCAGCCACACUGGGACUGAGACACGGCCCAGACUCCUACGGGAGGCAGCAGUGGGGAAUAUUGGACAAUGGGCGCAAGCCUGAUCCAGCCAUGCCGCGUGAGUUUAAGGCCUUAGGGUUGUAAAGCUC
Molecule: ribosomal RNA, 360 nt
Filed under: uncultured organism
Description: bacterial SSU rRNA
Rfam family: Bacterial small subunit ribosomal RNA
Source: RNAcentral